This is a long non-coding RNA of Monomorium pharaonis (pharaoh ant), 1257 nucleotides long. RefSeq lists it as uncharacterized. The transcript is spliced from 2 exons. Lineage: Eukaryota; Metazoa; Arthropoda; Insecta; Hymenoptera; Formicidae. The record is from RefSeq and is a predicted model, not a curated record.
GCUCUCCGGGUCUCCGUGUAUGCAUUUCCAACAUAUUCUUCAACAAAUUAUAAUAGUAAAUCAUAUUAAUCAAUAUUUUUAUUUUUAAGUUGCCGCGUUUCCAGACACAUAUUCGACAGUGUUACCACACAAUAACCAAUAAAGUCAGUUGUCUGCUUGCUUAGCUGAGCUCGAUGUCAGCUGAUAUCGUGUAACUAGUAAACACGCGUUGUGUGUUCGUCGAGUAAAUACGCGUUUCUUUCUUCGAAUAAUUUUGACGCGCCGAGUGAUUAGUAAUGUUUAAUAGUUAAAUGUUUCGUACUAUUUUUUUGAUGUGUAAAUAAAUUCGGUCAAUGAUAAAAUGUAAGAAGAAAGAAAAAAAGACUUUUAAUCCGAUAAACUGAAGGAUGGAUCGUGAGAACAAUCAAUUGAUUGUAGGAUGGUACGUGCGUAAACAGGUUCAAACAAGUUCUCUUUUCCCUCUCUUUCCUCUCUCUCUCUCUCUCUCUCUCUCUCUCUCUCUCUUUGUCACCUAUUCAUUUCUUCCUUUAUUACAUAAUAUUCGGGUAAUUCAAAAUACUAAAUACCAUCGUUAAAGAUAAUUGAGAUGAUUAUCGAUUAUUGAGCGCAGCAGAUUCCUCGCGGUGCUCGUGGUGCCUGCGAGCAGCGGUGAAUUGUGCCACCCUUGCUUACCUCUUGUAUCCGAUUCAAGAUACGUAAACUAUUUCUUAUAUCUAAAAAUCUAAGCUCUGGAUAAUUUUUUGCGAAAGAAAAAGUUAACUCAGAAUAUUACUAAGAAUACGUCUAUGCAAGGACAUAUAGUUAUUUUGAAUCACCCUGUAUAUAUAUAAACUACAAGACAAAAUUAAAGGAAUAAAAGUUUGAAGUAGCGCCAUAUUCGUAAAAGUUGAGCAAAAAAUUUGAAUUUUUAAUAUGAUAUAGCCCAAAGUGUUGACUUGACUUCUGCAAAAUCUCCCCGCUGUGGGUCCAGUAGUUUUGGAGUUAUGCCCCUCGAAGAAACUCCCGGUCAAAAACAAAAAUUGCAAGGUUGUAACUAGGAAAGUACAGGACAAUCUAAUGCAAGAAACGAACCAGAAAAAUUCGGAAAUGGGCUAAGCCGGUUCUGUAGGUGUCGCUCAGAAUGUCUCUGGUGCGUCCUAUAUAUAUAUAUACACUGGUCACAGAAAUUAAGGGAUAUUUAAAAAAUCCCAAAUUUUUAGGUGAUCUUUAAAAGGCUGUAACUUGGAGAAAAAUAGUUGUAGAGAAAAAUAAAAAAAA